Molecule: ribosomal RNA, 490 nt
Filed under: uncultured bacterium
Lineage: Bacteria
Description: partial 16S ribosomal RNA
Rfam family: Bacterial small subunit ribosomal RNA
Source: RNAcentral
AUUGAACGCUGGCGGCAUGCCUUACACAUGCAAGUCGAACGGCAUCGCGGGAAAGCUUGCUUUCCUGGCGGCGAGUGGCGCACGGGUGAGUAACACAUCGGAACGUACCGGCUAGUGGGGGAUAACCCGUCGAAAGACGGGCUAAUACCGCAUACGCUCUUCGGAGGAAAGCAGGGGACCUUUGGGCCUUGCGCUUGUCGAGCGGCCGAUGUCCGAUUAGCUAGUUGGUGGGGUAAAGGCCUACCAAGGCGACGAUCGGUAGCGGGUCUGAGAGGACGAUCCGCCACACUGGGACUGAGACACGGCCCAGACUCCUACGGGAGGCAGCAGUGGGGAAUCUUGGACAAUGGGGGCAACCCUGAUCCAGCAAUGCCGCGUGGGUGAAGAAGGCCUUCGGGUUGUAAAGCCCUGUCGGCAGGGAAGAAAUAGGCGGUGCGAAUAACCCUGCUGGAUGACGGUACCUGCAGAAGAAGCACCGGCUAACUACGUG